Molecule: ribosomal RNA, 69 nt
Filed under: Thunbergia alata (black-eyed Susan vine)
Lineage: Eukaryota; Viridiplantae; Streptophyta; Magnoliopsida; Lamiales; Acanthaceae
Description: partial 5.8S ribosomal RNA
Source: RNAcentral
GUUGCGCCCGAAGCCAUUAGGCCGAGGGCACGUCUGCCUGGGCGUCACGCAUCGCGUCGCCCCCCUCCA